RNAcentral lists this ribosomal RNA (451 nucleotides) under uncultured bacterium. RNAcentral describes it as "partial 16S ribosomal RNA". It matches the Rfam family "Bacterial small subunit ribosomal RNA", at positions 354 to 796 of the family's 1533-position model. The record is from RNAcentral.
GUGGGGAAUAUUGGACAAUGGGGGGAACCCUGAUCCAGCCAUGCCGCGUGUGUGAAGAAGGCCUUUUGGUUGUAAAGCACUUUAAGCGAGGAGGAGGCUACCGAGAUUAAUACUCUUGGAUAGUGGACGUUACUCGCAGAAUAAGCACCGGCUAACUCUGUGCCAGCAGCCGCGGUAAUACAGAGGGUGCGAGCGUUAAUCGGAUUUACUGGGCGUAAAGCGUGCGUAGGCGGCUUUUUAAGUCGGAUGUGAAAUCCCCGAGCUUAACUUGGGAAUUGCAUUCGAUACUGGGAAGCUAGAGUAUGGGAGAGGAUGGUAGAAUUCCAGGUGUAGCGGUGAAAUGCGUAGAGAUCUGGAGGAAUACCGAUGGCGAAGGCAGCCAUCUGGCCUAAUACUGACGCUGAGGUACGAAAGCAUGGGGAGCAAACAGGAUUAGAAACCCGGGUAGUCC